CUUCUCUUGUGGAUAUCCUAUGUGUAGCGGAUUGGUCUUGGGAGGAAACUUACUGGAUGUUUUACUUUCGUCCCGCUGAAUGUGCCUUGUUUUCUCUAAUGGCUCAGUGUUAAAAAUGCAAUAUAUGAAGCCUCCUUAAAUGCUGUGAAAUUGAAGACUAUGCUAGCUUUAGUGUACUAAUAAUCUUAAUUUUAAUAAUGACAGGAGGCAAGUAUUUUCCCUCCCUUACCUCUCCCUUUGUGUUUGUUUCAUGAUUUGCAUUGUGAUUACUGCU
Pelobates cultripes (western spadefoot toad) is the source of this 274-nucleotide non-coding RNA. The record is from the annotation of a GenBank genome assembly. Lineage: Eukaryota; Metazoa; Chordata; Amphibia; Anura; Pelobatidae.